Molecule: ribosomal RNA, 1346 nt
Filed under: uncultured bacterium
Lineage: Bacteria
Description: partial 16S ribosomal RNA
Rfam family: Bacterial small subunit ribosomal RNA
Source: RNAcentral
GAUGAACGCUGGCGGCGUGCUUAACACAUGCAAGUCGAACGGAAAGGCCCUGCUUUUGUGGGGUGCUCGAGUGGCGAACGGGUGAGUAACACGUGAGUAACCUGCCCUUGACUUUGGGAUAACUUCAGGAAACUGGGGCUAAUACCGGAUAGGAGCUCCUGCUGCAUGGUGGGGGUUGGAAAGUUUCGGCGGUUGGGGAUGGACUCGCGGCUUAUCAGCUUGUUGGUGGGGUAGUGGCUUACCAAGGCUUUGACGGGUAGCCGGCCUGAGAGGGUGACCGGCCACAUUGGGACUGAGAUACGGCCCAGACUCCUACGGGAGGCAGCAGUGGGGAAUAUUGCACAAUGGGCGGAAGCCUGAUGCAGCAACGCCGCGUGCGGGAUGACGGCCUUCGGGUUGUAAACCGCUUUCGCCUGUGACGAAGCGUGAGUGACGGUAAUGGGUAAAGAAGCACCGGCUAACUACGUGCCAGCAGCCGCGGUGAUACGUAGGGUGCGAGCGUUGUCCGGAUUUAUUGGGCGUAAAGGGCUCGUAGGUGGUUGAUCGCGUCGGAAGUGUAAUCUUGGGGCUUAACCCUGAGCGUGCUUUCGAUACGGGUUGACUUGAGGAAGGUAGGGGAGAAUGGAAUUCCUGGUGGAGCGGUGGAAUGCGCAGAUAUCAGGAGGAACACCAGUGGCGAAGGCGGUUCUCUGGGCCUUUCCUGACGCUGAGGAGCGAAAGCGUGGGGAGCGAACAGGCUUAGAUACCCUGGUAGUCCACGCUGUAAACGGUGGGUACUAGGUGUGGGGUCCAUUCCACGGGUUCCGUGCCGUAGCUAACGCUUUAAGUACCCCGCCUGGGGAGUACGGCCGCAAGGCUAAAACUCAAAGGAAUUGACGGGGCCCCGCACAAGCGGCGGAGCAUGCGGAUUAAUUCGAUGCAACGCGUAGAACCUUACCUGGGUUUGACAUGGAUCGGGAGUGCUCAGAGAUGGGUGUGCCUCUUUUGGGGUCGGUUCACAGGUGGUGCAUGGCUGUCGUCAGCUCGUGUCGUGAGAUGCUGGGUUAAGUCCCGCAACGAGCGCAACCCUUGUUCACUGUUGCCAGCACGUUAUGGUGGGGACUCAGUGGAGACCGCCGGGGUCAACUCGGAGGAAGGUGGGGAUGACGUCAAGUCAUCAUGCCCCUUAUGUCCAGGGCUUCACGCAUGCUACAAUGGCUGGUACAGAGAGUGGCGAGCCUGUGAGGGUGAGCGAAUCUCGGAAAGCCGGUCUCAGUUCGGAUUGGGGUCUGCAACUCGACCUCAUGAAGUCGGAGUCGCUAGUAAUCGCAGAUCAGCAACGCUGCGGUGAAUACGUUCCCGGGGCU